CUGUUUUCCCAGCGGGAUCAAUUUGCAUGCAUGUGUGUCUGCUGCUCAUGAAAUGGAAUUGUAAUGUAUGACAGCACAGGAAUGUGGCCUCAACAGAGAAUAACUCUCAAUUUCUUUGUUUCAGGUGUUCUUUUUCCAGAGGUCAGUGGAAGUCCCGUUCUCUCAAGGCAGCAGCACACUGAGAAUCAUUGCUGUGCUUUUCAGAGCUACAGGAGCACUGUGCUGUGUCACUGCAUGCCCACAGGGAUCAGCUGUGCACACACACAGCUCUGAUCACCAGCAUGACAUGGAAGCUAAGGCUGGGUGGAUUAAGGAGCUGGCUUAUGGAUGGUGAAUGGAAGUCCCAUUAGCCAUCAGCAAGGUCCAGUCUGUGCAUGCGAAAUGUGGAGCUGCUGCAGAGAGAAUACAGCAAAUUUCCCCUCGGGAAAGGCAGCAUUUUGAGCCCCCUCUGUGCUGCCACCACUUUUAUUCUGUUGUAAAUUGCUUUUCACUCAGAACUGUUGGCUUGUGUUCAGUUCUGACAUCAAGAAGUUAAGAUCUGCAAUUGGAAAGAUGAACGCAAAGGAGCAGAAAAGGUCACCUCAGUGGCACGAGGCCUUGCUCAAAGCUUGCCACCUGGGGGGCAGGAGG
Gallus gallus (chicken) is the source of this 630-nucleotide long non-coding RNA. NCBI's taxonomy places the organism in Eukaryota, Metazoa, Chordata, Aves, Galliformes, Phasianidae. The record is from Ensembl.